GACGAACGCUGGCGGCGUGCCUAAUACAUGCCAGUAGAACGCACAGUUUAUACCGUAGCUUGCUACACCAUAGACUGUGAGUUGCGAACGGGUGAGUAACGCGUAGGUAACCUGCCUGGUAGCGGGGGAUAACUAUUGGAAACGAUAGCUAAUACCGCAUAAUAUUGAUUAUUGCAUGAUAAUUGAUUGAAAGAUGCUAUUGCAUCACUACCAGAUGGACCUGCGUUGUAUUAGCUAGUAGGUGAGGUAACGGCUCACCUAGGCGACGAUACAUAGCCGACCUGAGAGGGUGCUCGGCCACACUGGGACUGAGACGCGGCCCAGACUCCUACGGGAGGCAGCAGUAGGGAAUCUUCGGCAAUGGACGAAAGUCUGACCGAGCAACGCCGCGUGAGUGAAGAAGGUUUUCGGAUCGUAAAGCUCUGUUGUAAGAGAAGAACGGGUGUGAGAGUGGAAAGUUCACACUGUGACGGUAUCUUACCAGAAAGGGACGGCUAACUACGUG
Molecule: ribosomal RNA, 505 nt
Filed under: uncultured bacterium
Lineage: Bacteria
Description: partial 16S ribosomal RNA
Rfam family: Bacterial small subunit ribosomal RNA
Source: RNAcentral